RNAcentral lists this ribosomal RNA (433 nucleotides) under uncultured bacterium. RNAcentral describes it as "partial 16S ribosomal RNA". It matches the Rfam family "Bacterial small subunit ribosomal RNA", at positions 29 to 507 of the family's 1533-position model. The record is from RNAcentral.
AACGAACGCUGGCGGCAUGCCUAACACAUGCAAGUCGAACGAGACCUUCGGGUCUAGUGGCGCACGGGUUCGUAACGCGUGGGAACCUGCCCUCAGGUUCGGAAUAACUCCCCGAAAGGGGUGCUAAUACCGGAUAAUGUCUUCGGACCAAAGAUUUAUCUCCUUUGGAUGGGCCGGAGUUGGAUUAGCUAGUUGGUAGGGUAAAAGCCUACCAAGGCGACGAUCCAUAGCUGGUCUGAGAGGAUGAUCAGCCACACUGGGACUGAGACACGGCCCAGACUCCUACGGAAGGCAGCAAUGGGGAAUGGUGGACAGUGGGCGAAAGCCUGAUGCAGUAAUGCCGGGAAAGUUAUGAAGUCCGUAGGGAUGUAAAGCUUUUUUACCCGUGAAGAUAAUGACGGUACCGGAAGAGUAAGCUCCGGCUAACUACGUG